Pelobates cultripes (western spadefoot toad) is the source of this 150-nucleotide non-coding RNA. Lineage: Eukaryota; Metazoa; Chordata; Amphibia; Anura; Pelobatidae. The record is from the annotation of a GenBank genome assembly.
CGGCGAACUCCGGUCAGCUGACACAUCCCGGCCAAUCUCCAACAGACCCUCCCAGAACCUCCUACUUCCUGGACAGCAUGCAUGUUGAAAGUAGUAGGGUCUGGGAGGGAGGGUCUGCUGGAGAUUGGCCGGGAUGUGUCAGCUGACCGG